This 514-nucleotide ribosomal RNA is filed under the name uncultured bacterium. Its description in RNAcentral is "bacterial SSU rRNA". It matches the Rfam family "Bacterial small subunit ribosomal RNA", at positions 15 to 518 of the family's 1533-position model. The record is from RNAcentral.
GAUAUGGCUCAGAACGAACGCUGGCGGCGCGUCUUAAGCAUGCAAGUCGAACGGCAAGAGGUAGCAAUACCUCCUAGAGUGGCGGACUGGUGAGUAACACGUGGGUGACAUACCCUUCAGAUGGGGAUAGCUAUUAGAAAUAGUAGAUAAUACCGAAUACGAGCACAGGGGUUAGAGAUCUGUGAGGAAAGGAGCUAAGGCUCCGCUGAAGGAAUGGCCUGCGGCCCAUUAGCUAGUUGGUGAGGUAAGAGCCCACCAAGGCGAUGAUGGGUAUCCCGGCCUUAGAGGGUGAACGGACACAUUGGGACUGAGAUACGGCCCAGACUCCUACGGGAGGCAGCAGCUAAGAAUAUUCCGCAAUGGACGAAAGUCUGACGGAGCGACGCCGCGUGGAUGAAGAAGGCCGGAAGGUUGUAAAAUCCUUUUGAAACUGAAGAAUAAGCGUUGUAGGGAAUGACAGCGUGGUGACAGUAGGUUUUGAAUAAGCAACGGCUAAUUACGUGCCAGCCGCAGC